UACGUAGGGUGCAAGCGUUGUCCGGAAUUAUUGGGCGUAAAGAGCUCGUAGGCGGUCUGUCGCGUCUGCUGUGAAAACUCGGGGCUUAACCCCGGGCCUGCAGUGGGUACGGGCAGACUAGAGUGCGGUAGGGGAGACUGGAAUUCUUGGUGUAGCGGUGAAAUGCGUAGAUAUCAAGAGGAACACCUGCGGCGAAGGCGGGUUGCUGGGCCGACACUGACGCUGAAGCGCGAAAGCCAGGGGAGCGAACGGG
RNAcentral lists this ribosomal RNA (253 nucleotides) under uncultured bacterium. RNAcentral's name for it is "partial 16S ribosomal RNA". It matches the Rfam family "Bacterial small subunit ribosomal RNA", at positions 524 to 776 of the family's 1533-position model. The record is from RNAcentral.